GGAUAACCUGCCCUUGAGACGGGGAUAAACCCGGGAAACUGGGUAUAAUACCCGAUAGAUCUCGGCUGCUGGAAUGCACCGAGUUCUAAAGCUCCGGCGCUCAAGGAUGGAUCUGCGGCCUAUCAGGUAGUAGUGGGUGUAGCGUACCUACUAGCCUACGACGGGUACGGGUUGUGAGAGCAAGAGCCCGGAGAUGGAUUCUGAGACACGAAUCCAGGCCCUACGGGGUGCAGCAGGCGCGAAAACUUUACAAUGCUGGAAACAGCGAUAAGGGGACCUCGAGUGCCAGGUUACAAAUCUGGCUGUCGUGAUGCCUAAAAAGCAUUGCAUAGCAAGGGCCGGGCGAGACCGGUGCCAGCCGCCGCGGUAACACCGGCGGCUCGAGUGGUAACCGUUAUUAUUGGGUCUAAAGGGUCUGUAGCCGGCCGGAUAAGUCUCUUGGGAAAUCUGGCAGCUUAACUGUCAGGCUUUCAGGAGAUACUGUCUGGCUCGAGGCCGGGAGAGGUGAGAGGUACUUCAGGGGUAGGGGUGAAAUCUUGUAAUCCUUGAAGGACCACCAGUGGCGAAGGCGUCUCACCAGAACGGACCUGACGGCAAGGGACGAAAGCUAGGGGCACGAACCGGAUUAGAUACCCGGGUAGUCCUAGUCGUACACGAUACUCGCUAGGUGUCGGCCACGAUGCGACCGUUGUCGGUGCCGUAUGGAAGCCGUGAAGCGAGCCACCUGGGAAGUACGGCCGC
RNAcentral lists this ribosomal RNA (741 nucleotides) under uncultured Methanosaeta sp. RNAcentral's name for it is "bacterial SSU rRNA". It matches the Rfam family "Archaeal small subunit ribosomal RNA", at positions 102 to 844 of the family's 1478-position model. Lineage: Archaea; Methanobacteriati; Methanobacteriota; Methanomicrobia; Methanotrichales; Methanotrichaceae. The record is from RNAcentral.